This is a non-coding RNA of Bemisia tabaci, 581 nucleotides long. The record is from RefSeq and is a predicted model, not a curated record. NCBI's taxonomy places the organism in Eukaryota, Metazoa, Arthropoda, Insecta, Hemiptera, Aleyrodidae.
UAUGCGUGGAAUUUGCGAUAAAAUUGGAGAAGAAAACUCGGGGUGAGGAGGGAGAUUUCGUGACACCGAGACUCUCAGACUUGAUGAUCCACCAGAGACUUCCUGAACGUCGAACCGAGCACUUGCGAAGUACCCACAUAGUCUAGUGUUGGACUUUUUCUUAAUUCCUCCAAGAAAAGCAAUAGACAAAAUGGACCAGAGAGAAAUAGACGAGAGGGCGAAGAACUGGAACCCAAACAACAAAGCAGGAGGCGGUUACGGGAGUCGCCCUCGCGCAGACGCGCAGCAUUCAUCAACCGAAAACCGGGCAAUGCAGUUGAAUCCAAACAAUCCACGUUUCCAAGGAAAUCAGCGGGAUCAAGCCCAGAAUAAAUAAACGCCCAAGAUGGACCUCAGCUUUUUAGCCACGGAUAAUUAUCUGCUUCAAUUUUUUUUGACGUUCCAUCAAUUGACAACUUGUACUUGCAUUAUUACUGCUACUACUACAAUUUUGCGUGAAUAUUUUCUAAAUCUAUAAAUACAGCUUAUUUGGAUGACAAUACAUAUUUUUUUAAAAAAAUAAAGCACCUUGCAAAUCCUCA